RNAcentral lists this ribosomal RNA (253 nucleotides) under uncultured bacterium. RNAcentral describes it as "partial 16S ribosomal RNA". It matches the Rfam family "Bacterial small subunit ribosomal RNA", at positions 524 to 776 of the family's 1533-position model. The record is from RNAcentral.
UACGGAGGGAGCUAGCGUUGUUCGGAAUUACUGGGCGUAAAGCGCGCGUAGGCGGCUUUGUAAGUUAGAGGUGAAAGCUCGGAGCUCAACUCCGGAACUGCCUUUGAAACUGCAUCGCUUGAAUCCAGGAGAGGUGAGUGGAAUUCCGAGUGUAGAGGUGAAAUUCGUAGAUAUUCGGAAGAACACCAGUGGCGAAGGCGGCUCACUGGACUGGUAUUGACGCUGAGGAGCGAAAGUGUGGGGAGCGAACAGG